RNAcentral lists this ribosomal RNA (1032 nucleotides) under Aspergillus proliferans. RNAcentral's name for it is "SSU rRNA". It matches the Rfam family "Eukaryotic small subunit ribosomal RNA", at positions 71 to 1112 of the family's 1831-position model. Lineage: Eukaryota; Fungi; Ascomycota; Eurotiomycetes; Eurotiales; Aspergillaceae. The record is from RNAcentral.
ACUUUAUACCGUGAAACUGCGAAUGGCUCAUUAAAUCAGUUAUCGUUUAUUUGAUAGUACCUUACUACAUGGAUACCUGUGGUAAUUCUAGAGCUAAUACAUGCUAAAAACCCCGACUUCGGAAGGGGUGUAUUUAUUAGAUAAAAAACCAAUGCCCCUCGGGGCUCCUUGGUGAUUCAUAAUAACUUAACGAAUCGCAUGGCCUUGCGCCGGCGAUGGUUCAUUCAAAUUUCUGCCCUAUCAACUUUCGAUGGUAGGAUAGUGGCCUACCAUGGUGGCAACGGGUAACGGGGAAUUAGGGUUCGAUUCCGGAGAGGGAGCCUGAGAAACGGCUACCACAUCCAAGGAAGGCAGCAGGCGCGCAAAUUACCCAAUCCCGACACGGGGAGGUAGUGACAAUAAAUACUGAUACGGGGCUCUUUUGGGUCUCGUAAUUGGAAUGAGUACAAUUUAAAUCCCUUAACGAGGAACAAUUGGAGGGCAAGUCUGGUGCCAGCAGCCGCGGUAAUUCCAGCUCCAAUAGCGUAUAUUAAAGUUGUUGCAGUUAAAAAGCUCGUAGUUGAACCUUGGGUCUGGCUGGCCGGUCCGCCUCACCGCGAGUACUGGUCCGGCUGGACCUUUCCUUCUGGGGAAUCCCAUGGCCUUCACUGGCUGUGGGGGGAACCAGGACUUUUACUGUGAAAAAAUUAGAGUGUUCAAAGCAGGCCUUUGCUCGAAUACAUUAGCAUGGAAUAAUAGAAUAGGACGUGCGGUUCUAUUUUGUUGGUUUCUAGGACCGCCGUAAUGAUUAAUAGGGAUAGUCGGGGGCGUCAGUAUUCAGCUGUCAGAGGUGAAAUUCUUGGAUUUGCUGAAGACUAACUACUGCGAAAGCAUUCGCCAAGGAUGUUUUCAUUAAUCAGGGAACGAAAGUUAGGGGAUCGAAGACGAUCAGAUACCGUCGUAGUCUUAACCAUAAACUAUGCCGACUAGGGAUCGGGCGGUGUUUUUAUGAUGACCCGCUCGGCACCUUACGAGAAAUCAAAGUUUUUGGGU